This 468-nucleotide ribosomal RNA is filed under the name uncultured bacterium. RNAcentral describes it as "partial 16S ribosomal RNA". It matches the Rfam family "Bacterial small subunit ribosomal RNA", at positions 28 to 507 of the family's 1533-position model. The record is from RNAcentral.
GACGAACGCUGGCGGCGUGCUUAACACAUGCAAGUCGAACGGAAAGGCCCUGCUUUUGUGGGGUGCUCGAGUGGCGAACGGGUGAGUAACAAGUGAGUAACCUGCCCUUGACUUUGGGAUAACUUCAGGAAACUGGGGCUAAUACCGGAUAGGAGCUCCUGCUGCAUGGUGGGGGUUGGAAAGUUUCGGCGGUUGGGGAUGGACUCGCGGCUUAUCAGCUUGUUGGUGGGGUAGUGGCUUACCAAGGCUUUGACGGGUAGCCGGCCUGAGAGGGUGACCGGCCACAUUGGGACUGAGAUACGGCCCAGACUCCUACGGAAGGCAGCAGUGGGGAAUAUUGCACAAUGGGCGGAAGCCUGAUGCAGCAACGCCGCGUGCGGGAUGACGGCCUUCGGGUUGUAAACCGCUUUCGCCUGUGACGAAGCGUGAGUGACGGUAAUGGGUAAAGAAGCACCGGCUAACUACGUG